Long non-coding RNA from Macadamia integrifolia, 2446 nucleotides. RefSeq lists it as uncharacterized. Lineage: Eukaryota; Viridiplantae; Streptophyta; Magnoliopsida; Proteales; Proteaceae. The record is from RefSeq and is a predicted model, not a curated record. The transcript has 2 exons.
GUGCUAGCCCCAAAAUCUUGUUAAAAAAACAGAAUCGUUACAGUACAGAGCCUAACUGACUGGGAGAUUUUUGAUAAAUGAAUUUAUUGAGUGAAUACUCUUUGGAUGAAAGGUUGCUAUUGAGAGGUGAGAUGCCUAAACCCUUGAGGGGUGUGAUACCCAAAACCUGAGGGGUGAGAUACCCAUUCCAUUAUUCUCUUCCACAGUUCCACCCUUCUCAACCGUCCAUCUAUUCUAUUUUCUUUUCUUGAUUUUCCUUUAUCUUUCGAGUGUUGAGAAUACUACGUGAGCUGCUCAUCAAGACACCGAUGAGCAACUAAUCUGUAGACACAAGAUUACCAGCGGCAGCCAUUAGAGGACCAGAUUUGGGCAGGAUUUUGAACCGGCCUAAGUCCCUGCUGACCCUGUUCUAGGGAUCUGCUCUCACACCUGGGAGGACACUCGAACUGCACAGGUUGAUCAGCAGAUGUCUGGAUCUCUAGUUCUUGUUUUCUCUCUUAAGUUUCCUAAUUGGUGGCAUCAACCAACAACCUUCAGAUCUCCACAAUCAGCCACCCAUUCUGGACCCAAUUUUGAGGGCGAGUUGAAGUCCAUAAGGAGGUCACUCGACCCAAGUUUGGUGGCCAACUGAGCUUUGUAUUAUCUGUUUCUGCAGACCUUUAGUUUCCUAAUUGGGAACUCUUUCUCAGAUCUCCCAAACCUGAGUUCAGAUUACAGAACCCUUUGGAGGGUUUUUUCAGCAUCACAAGAGGAGCUACUGCCCAGAAGUUGAGUCCCAUCAGAGACCCCUACAGCCAGCUGCAGACUCCUACUCCGGAGGGGUAUCAGAAUUAAAUGAUUGGGUUCUAAUUGGGGUAAAAAAAUUAGGAGAUAAAAGAAGAAGCCAGGGGUAAUUUGGGAAGGUAAAACAAAAAACAAAACAUAUCAGAUAUAUAAGCAGAGGAGUUCUUCCUCACGCGAAUGGGAUUUCACGAUUAGUUCUCUUAGCUUGAUUCGAUUACGUUUGGAAGACACGAUUGAAUCAUCUUCUACCAGCGGAGCAAUUGGCGGUGAGAAUGGUGGAAGUCUCAGACUGCAACAAUAGGGUGUAAUUAGAGCCACGACUGAAUAAUGCAUAAAAGAACAUGCUACCGGCGCACAGUGGAAGGAAGUGUUGUGGAAUUGUUUGGUUUGUUGAACCAGCUCACAUCACAUGUAUCAAAUGCAUUGUCUUGAACUUUUAGGAAUUCGUUACUUUAAUGCACUUGCAACAUCAUUAACAUUUAUUCCUCAAGUACUUGGUUGUUAAUUAAUUACUUGCCAUUUAAGUUAGUUUCUUCACACCGCCCCUGCCUUGUUCAACACUUCCACACUGGUGUUGUAAAUUUAAGCAAGUGGAAUGAAGUAUCAUUUACACCUAGCAUUAGUAACAUUUAUCUAUGUUGGUGCACCAUUUCACAUUUCGAUAUGAGCAUUCUGCCCUGAUGCAGAUUAGAGUCACCUUAUGAAGUACCAGCAGUGAAGCAAGCAACAGGCAAAAUAAUGCCUGUGGUUCUGGUUUGGACCAGUCUCUGGUUCAAUUUUGGACCAGGAAUAUUCCAUAUAUUUGUGAGGCACUGGUUAGGAGUCCUAUGGAUUUCUUUCUUUCUUUAUACUUGUAAUAGCUGGAAUAGGACUUUUAAGUUCCAGCUUAGUUGGGGUCUUUUAUUUUAUCUUUAUGAAGAGUUUUAGACAAACUUAAACUCUCCCAGUUAGUUGGCGGUAGUAGUAGUUUAUGUUAUAUUUGGACUCUUAUUUGUGUUUAAGAUCAGAUUAAGUUCCAGUUACUUUGUGUAGUAUAACUGGUCUUUUGUUGUUUUUAAUGAAGGCAUAGGAGGGCUAAACAUAGCCCAAGAUUUGUACAGUUAAAUAAAGUAUUUGCUUAACAAGUUCUGUGGUGAUUCAGACCAUGCCUGCUAUGAUGAUUCAAUAGGUUGGGUUGGUGGUGAUUCUAGCUGGGCCUUGGGUGGUGACUCCCAGGUCAUAUCUUUUUCCCUCUUUCAAUCUUCUUAUUAUCUUUCUAAGUUGCUGAACUCAGGUCAUCACAAAACCUUUCAGCUCCUGCUUUUGUCAAUUCUGGUUUGUUCUUCAGACAACGAGGUAUGCCAUGAACUAUAAGGAGAACGAGAAGAUGGAACACCGAUACUGAGAUGGAUUCCCAAAUGUCUUCAAUUUGGUCACCCACCUGAUCUGGGUACCUCUUCGGCAAAGUCUUCAUGAAUUAUAAAGGAGUCUUUCUCAUUUUAUGUAGUUUCUAAAUCUGGGACUUUAAGUUCGAGUUAAAGAUGAGUUACGAACAAAGUUGUGGGUUGUUUUGGGUGAGAACUGACUUGAAAAUUUUAGGGAGGAGUAGCCCUAAACUGUUUUCAGCUUUUGCUGUUAUUAUGUGAUGGAACGUGGUACAGAAAAAUUUCAGCAGUUUAUGGUA